Molecule: non-coding RNA, 79 nt
Filed under: unclassified sequences
Source: RNAcentral
UGAAAUUUGCCGCCGGGCAAUCAGCGUUGAACCUUGUAUCCAUAGGCCUUAGAGGAUACAGAUUUGGCGCUUUUUUUGU